AAUUUACUUAAAGCUGGUCCUAAGAAGGGAUCAUCUUAUACUUGGCAAAGCAUUGUGGCAGGCAUUCAAACUUUCCAGCAAGGAUGUAUUUGGAGGGUUGGUUCUGGAACACACAUAAACAUUUGGCAGGACCCUUGGAUCCCAACUAGUGCAACACGGAAGGUAAUUACCCCUAGAGGGACAGUAAUUUUGUCAAAAGUGGAGGAGCUUAUUGAUCCUUACACUGGAAAUUAGGAUGAUGUGCUUUUGAGAGAUUGUUUCUCACCAGUAGAUGUGCAAAGGAUAUUGCAAAUUCCGCUUAACACACAUAUGACGAAGGACUUUGUUGCUUGGAACUAUACAAGGUGUGGUACCUUCUCAGUACGAUCGGCUUAUUACAGGGAGUUGGAACACCAAUUUGGUCCUCGUCUUAUAAGAGCUGAUGGGCAAGGUAAUGUCCAUAUAAAUGAGGUAUGGAAAGAUGCAUGGAAACUUAAGGUGCCUGGCAAAGUAAAACACUUCACAUGGAAAGUGCUUCAUGGAGUUCUCCCAUGUUACGGCAUUAUUGCUUGCCGACAUAUCCCCAUAUUGCCACAGUGUCCUCGAUGCUCAAUCGAUGCAGAAGAUGUGCAACACACACUCUUUGGCUGCCGUAAGGUAAAGGAAGUUUGGAGAUGCUUAGGCCUCUUGGAAACUAUGAAGAAAGCAAUGGGAGAAGAUAGAUUUGGUGCCAUCACCUUGGACAUACUGCUCAAACUUACAGAGACAGUCGAUAGUCUGCCGGUGGCGGAACUGGCAACAGUUGCAGCGUGGUUUCUAUGGUGGCAGCGACACCAGCUUGUGAAAGGAGUGGAAAUCCAAGGCCCAGAUAAAACAGCAAUGUCAAUUAAACUCCUUGCAACAAACUAUAUCCCAUCUUUGAUGCCCAAGUUGCCAGCGAGGACUGGUAAUCAUAUGUGA
Molecule: ribosomal RNA, 939 nt
Filed under: Triticum aestivum (bread wheat)
Lineage: Eukaryota; Viridiplantae; Streptophyta; Magnoliopsida; Poales; Poaceae
Description: partial small subunit ribosomal RNA
Source: RNAcentral